UACAGAGGGUGCGAGCGUUGUUCGGAAUUACUGGGCGUAAAGCGCGCGCAGGCGGCUUCUUAAGUCUGUCGGUCAAACGCCGGGGCUCAACCCCGAGCUCGCCGGAGAUACUGGGAGGCUGGAGACACGUAGAGGCAAGCGGAAUUCCGGGUGUAGCGGUGGAAUGCGUAGAGAUCCGGAAGAACACCAGUGGCGAAGGCGACUACCUGGCCUGUUCUUGACGCUGAGGCGCGAAAGCUAGGGGAGCAAACGGG
This 254-nucleotide ribosomal RNA is filed under the name uncultured bacterium. RNAcentral's name for it is "partial 16S ribosomal RNA". It matches the Rfam family "Bacterial small subunit ribosomal RNA", at positions 524 to 776 of the family's 1533-position model. The record is from RNAcentral.